ACUCCCUUCUCUUCCUUUUUUUCUGGAUCAGAGAAAAUAGUGAUCAUAACAAGAGACGAUGAGAAGCAGGUGGAGACGGGUGUAAGUGGUUUCUCCCGUGCGGUUGGCUCGUCAGGGCGAUAGCAUGGAGGCGGAGCUCCAUGUGGUGGCGACGAGAUCCAUCGCCACGGCGAUGGGUAAUUGGCGUCAGCGAGAUGAGUUGCCGACAAUGGUGCCUGCAUCUAGCGGCAACCUCGACGACGGCGUGCACGGCCAAGCAGCGGAGGCAGCAUCCACGAGGAGGCCGAUUCACAGCUGCACGAGAAAAUCGUCAUCCAUGUCGAUGCUGACAACGAGAUGGUCGGCGAUGAGGCUCCACCGUACAAGGAGGUCAGGCGUGAGGGAGGACGGCAUCCACUGGGAUCUACACUGUGACUGACGGCCUGCGGGCUCGAUACGGCGGCAUGGUGGCUACCUUGAUCCUGGACAGCUUGGGGACGAACAGGUGCUGGCCCAGACGCAUGCGGCACCCACAGCCACGACGGGGGAGGCGGCACAUGAACUGGUAGCUUAUUGUUUUCUUGUUGCUAUUCUAAUUCCUGUUCUCUGGUUAUGCUAAUGCUAACUCUAUGAAGGUUCUUCUUUACUAUGGCCAUAAGCUGCACGUAACAGCAGGGAUCCCCUCAUGUAGAUGUCGUUGUCAAAGGAUGGUGCUGCUGGCAGAGUACAGAGUUUGGCUGCAGGGCUCAAGCAAGAGAAACGAAUAAUUGCAGUAGAAGCCGAGCAAGGUGCCCUCUCCCUGCUCACAGCAUGUUCGACAAAAUGUCUAUGAGAGCAAGAAGAUCUGAAGGUUAGUUUCCCUUUACAGUGAAGGUACCAUUAUUUCCAUUCAUGGUUUAUUGUUGAGAGCUUUAUAAGAAAUUAAUCAUGGUUCAUUAUUAAAAUGCACCCAGUUCGUAGUUACUUUUUUUUUUUUGUUAAAGAUGCAAUUUGUGAUUUUCUGCUUCUAAUUGAAGCAAUUCUUGAUUUCUCGCAAGAUACAGUUGUGAUUUUAUAUAUAUAUAUAUAUAUAUAUAUAUAUAUAUAUAUAUAUGUGCGUGCUUGGGAUGAUGCUACCGUAGCUAUGGUGUUUUGGGUUGCAACUGGGCUAUGUUUUUUUGGCUCCUUUAUUUUCUUCUUCUGAAAUUUUGGAUAGAUGAAAUCUCAAGGAGCUUGAUUGGAUAGCAAUUCUCUGCAAUUUUGUGGUUCAACUGAGCAAAUCGAUACAUUUUUUUUGAACUGCACACUGCAUAUGAUCCUAUUGAUUGUAAGAAUGUUCAAUUUUUUUUUAUCCAUGAGCGGUGGUGAUGUGUAUUUUUUUAUAGAGUAAAUUUCACAAAACUACACGUUCUGUGGUCCAAGUUGAAAACUACACACACUUUGACACUUAACACUUAAGUACAUAUAUUCCGGUAGUGUAGUUUCACAAAACCACAUAUUCGAUGAAUGGAUUCACCCGUGAGAUGAAGUGGUUGUUUCACCUAAGAUGAAGACAUGGCAUCCUAUUACCAGCCAUCGCACGAAAUUAAUAGGAUACCACAUCCUCAUCCUAAAUGGAACAACCACGUCAUCUUACGGCUGAAUCCAUUCAUCAAUAGUGUAGUAUUGUGAAACUAAACUACCAAAAUAUACGUACUCAAGUGUUAAGUGUCAAAAUAUGUGUGGUUUUCUGCAACUUGAUCCAUAAAACAUGUAGUUUUGUGAAUUUUACUCUUUUUUUUUUGAAUGAGCGUUGGUUCUGUUGCGGUGGGUCAGCCCCGUUGAUGACAUCAAUCCUGCAUGGGCAGGGAGCUGCGUACAUCACGAUGAGUCGGCUAGCUACAAGAUGGACUGGCCGGUAGCUUACCGACGUACCGCCUGUGGCCUUACCGCCCUCUACCAAGCAGCAACAUAACAGAUCUAUUCUUUUUUAAAAAAAAAUUGCUCACUGCUCACUACAUAUGGUCCUAUCCAAUAGAGUAAUGUUACUCUGAAUAUGUCGACACCACAGCUGGUUUCAUAUUUUAAGAUACCACUCAGUCAAGUUCUUGUGGUAAAUAUUGUCAAUUUGUCAUUGCUUCCAUCAGUUACUACUACAUCAUAACAACCGAUCUAAUUCACUCUUGCAGAAUUGGAUAAACAAUGAUGGGAAUAGUAGUGCUAGACCAUCAGCUGGUGGAUUGAUUUUCUUGUGGAUGGUGACUGAGUCUAGUGCCAGCCAUAUCCAUCAUUGUUGGUGUUGUAAUUUUUUAUUUGUUUUUGUGCAUUCUACCAAUCUAUCGCAUUGCGUGUGUGAUCAAACAGUCGUUGUAAUACUAAAUCCUGUCCAAACAUUUUCUGG
This is a non-coding RNA of Oryza sativa Japonica Group (Japanese rice), 2338 nucleotides long. The record is from RefSeq and is a predicted model, not a curated record. Lineage: Eukaryota; Viridiplantae; Streptophyta; Magnoliopsida; Poales; Poaceae.